AUUGGAGGGCAAGUCUGGUGCCAGCAGCCGCGGUAAUUCCAGCUCCAAUAGCGUAUAUUAAAGUUGUUGCGGUUAAAAAGCUCGUAGUUGGUUCUGCGUGCCGCGCUGUCGGUUCGCCGCCUGUCGGUGUAACUGGCAUGUCGCGGCAUGUCCUGUCGGUGGUGAACGGAGUCCACAAUGCUUCAAAGGCUUCAUAGCUGAUGUUAGCGUUGUGUGCAUUUCCGUUAACCGAUCUCUCCUACUUCGGUGCUCUUAAACGAGUGUCGAGGUAGGCCGACACGUUCACUUUGAACAAAUUAGAGUGCUUAAAGCAGGCUGAAAUAUCUGCCUGAAUAGUGGUGCAUGGAAUGAUAAAACAGGACCUCGGUUCUAUUUUGUUGGUUUUAGGAAUAUGAGGUAAUGAUCAAUGUGGACUGGCGGGGGCAUUCGUAUUGCGACGUUAGAGGUGAAAUUCUUGGAUCGUCGCAAGACGCACUAGAGCGAAAGCAUUUGCCAAGUAUGUCUUAAUUGAUCAAGAACGAAAGUUAGAGGUUCGAAGGCGAUCAGAUACCGCCCUAGUUCUAACCAUAAACGAUGCCAGCCAGCGAUCCGCCGAUGUUCCUUUAAUGACUCGGCGGGGAGCUUCUACCCGGGAAACCAAAGCUUUUGGGUUCCGGGGGAAGUAUGGUUGCAAAGCUGAAACUUAAAGGA
Molecule: ribosomal RNA, 690 nt
Filed under: Belminus costaricensis
Lineage: Eukaryota; Metazoa; Arthropoda; Insecta; Hemiptera; Reduviidae
Description: SSU rRNA
Rfam family: Eukaryotic small subunit ribosomal RNA
Source: RNAcentral